RNAcentral lists this ribosomal RNA (460 nucleotides) under uncultured bacterium. Its description in RNAcentral is "partial 16S ribosomal RNA". It matches the Rfam family "Bacterial small subunit ribosomal RNA", at positions 338 to 795 of the family's 1533-position model. The record is from RNAcentral.
CCUACGGGAGGCUGCAGUGAGGAAUAUUGGUCAAUGGACGAGAGUCUGAACCAGCCAAGUAGCGUGAAGGAUGACUGCCCUAUGGGUUGUAAACUUCUUUUAUAUGGGAAUAAAAUGUUCCACGUGUGGGAUUUUGUAUGUACCAUAUGAAUAAGGAUCGGCUAACUCCGUGCCAGCAGCCGCGGUAAUACGGAGGAUCCGAGCGUUAUCCGGAUUUAUUGGGUUUAAAGGGAGCGUAGGUGGAUUGUUAAGUCAGUUGUGAAAGUUUGCGGCUCAACCGUAAAAUUGCAGUUGAAACCGGCAGUCUUGAGUACAGUAGAGGUGGGCGGAAUUCGUGGUGUAGCGGUGAAAUGCUUAGAUAUCACGAAGAACUCCGAUUGCGAAGGCAGUUCACUGGACUGCAACUGACACUGAGGCUCGAAAGUGUGGGUAUCAAACAGGAUUAGAUACCCGAGUAGUC